CGGAGAGUUUGAUCCUGGCUCAGGAUGAACGCUGGCGGCGUGCCUAAUACAUGCAAGUCGAACGCUUUGUGGUUCAACUGAUUUGAAGAGCUUGCUCAGAUAUGACGAUGAACAUUGCAAAGAGUGGCGAACGGGUGAGUAACACGUGGGAAACCUACCUCUUAGCAGGGGAUAACAUUUGGAAACAGAUGCUAAUACCGUAUAACAAUAGCAACCGCAUGGUUGCUACUUAAAAGAUGGUUCUGCUAUCACUAAGAGAUGGUCCCGCGGUGCAUUAGUUAGUUGGUGAGGUAAUGGCUCACCAAGACGAUGAUGCAUAGCCGAGUUGAGAGACUGAUCGGCCACAAUGGGACUGAGACACGGCCCAUACUCCUACGGGAGGCAGCAGUAGGGAAUCUUCCACAAUGGGCGAAAGCCUGAUGGAGCAACGCCGCGUGUGUGAUGAAGGGUUUCGGCUCGUAAAACACUGUUGUAAGAGAAGAAUGACAUUGAGAGUAACUGUUCAAUGUGUGACGGUAUUUAACCAGAAAGCCACGGCUAACUACGUGCCAGCAGCCGCGGUAAUACGUAGGUGGCAAGCGUUGUCCGGAUUUAUUGGGCGUAAAGCGAGCGCAGGCGGUUUUUUAAGUCUGAAGUGAAAGCCCUCAGCUCAACUGAGGAAUUGCUUUGGAAACUGGAUGACUUGAGUGCAGUAGAGGAAAGUGGAACUCCAUGUGUAGCGGUGAAAUGCGUAGAUAUAUGGAAGAACACCAGUGGCGAAGGCGGCUUUCUGGACUGUAACUGACGUUGAGGCUCGAAAGUGUGGGUAGCAAACAGGAUUAGAUACCCUGGUAGUCCACACCGUAAACGAUGAGUGCUA
This 859-nucleotide ribosomal RNA is filed under the name uncultured bacterium. RNAcentral describes it as "bacterial SSU rRNA". It matches the Rfam family "Bacterial small subunit ribosomal RNA", at positions 1 to 818 of the family's 1533-position model. The record is from RNAcentral.